GGAAGAGAAUCUGUACGAUAUGAAGUGAAUGACAAGAUUGUCAAGAAGACAUUAAACUCCUUAAUUGAAACUCAAGAUGACAUCUCAAACAAAAACCAUGGAAAUGAAGCACAGGAUGCAAACAAUAACAACAUGAGUUCCACCAACCAUGAUCAAAUAAUCCAUCCAUGUAACUUUACUUCAUCCAUAUAUUAUGGUGGCCAGGACAUAAUUCCUAAUACUCAGACAACACAAAAUGCAGGAGUAACUUCAUUUAAUAAUUGGGAAAAGGAUGAUUCAGGAGCUGCUUCAAGAGGAGAUUGGUGGAAAGG
Long non-coding RNA from Vicia villosa (hairy vetch), 311 nucleotides. RefSeq lists it as uncharacterized. Lineage: Eukaryota; Viridiplantae; Streptophyta; Magnoliopsida; Fabales; Fabaceae. The record is from RefSeq and is a predicted model, not a curated record. The transcript has 3 exons.